CCAUGUAUGGCCACCUUUAUGUUUACAAUUCAUACGAUUAAUUAUUUAAAUGUAUAUAUAUUGUUAUGUUGCCACCAAGCGACCAAAGUGAUAUGACAGGGUGUUUAUUUCCUUGUCUGUAAACCCUCCUAUUCCAUGUCUGCGUGUGUGAUGUAAGUUCCUCCCAUUUUUCCUUUCCUGUUCCUGCUCCUGCUUUCCAUGUCUGAUGAGCUGCUGCAGAUCUUAGGGAGGAAAAUAUUCCUUUUGACCACCACGUUUCUCCAUCCACUCUGUAAAAGAGAACCUUUGUGCAUUCCAAGUGUCUGCAGGAGAACAACUUGCAGGCAUAUGAUCUUCUAACUUCUUUGAAAAUUCUAAUCACGUGAGAUUUCAGUUCGGAAAGCUUGUUGGAAGGAGCCAAGAUGACCCGAAGCACGGGAAUGAGCCAAACAAGUGCACCGGAAAGAUCCAAAGCCAACCACACAUCGGAAAGAGCUGAGAAGACCUGAAGAGAAGAUUUCCGGAAGAAGCUGGGCAGAUCCGAAGAUCGGGACACCGCAGGACAUCUCUGCAGCUAUCUGGGACAACGGGACAGGCAUCAAAAAUCGGGACUGUCCCACGUAAUGCAGGACAGUUGGAAGCAGCAGCAGCACAUGGACCCCAGGCCAGUCCCUCUCCUUUUUGCUUCCAAGAUUUCUGAUGGAAGCCAAAGUGAUCAUGUAACAAAUACUUUAUACUUUUUCUUCAUCAUACUUGUUAUAAGCAAUUAAGGAAGAGGAGCACAUUAUUAAUGAUUACAGAAACGGCGAAAAGGCGACCAUUAAUCCAGCGGUGCUCGAUUUCUCCUCCCUGGCUGUAUUCUGCAUUGAAGAGAGAAGAGGAUGGAGCGUGAUGGGGCCGCUGUUCUUCUGCAAAUAAUCCUCACAGCAUUGGCAGUAACAGCGAUACAUGGAAAGUGUAUUUUCUAUGCCAGAUAUGAUGGGCAAUGCUGUGCUCUUUGUCACUAUGUCACUACAACCUAGUACGGAAAUUUGAGUUGCGCUGUACCUAGCAUCUCGGCGGAACUGAGCGAGUCUGCGUUGAAGAGUGGGGCUGGGUCGCUCCGUGAAAUUCGGGGAUUGCCUGAGCGCGUGACCCUGACUUGUAAGAUAAUGUGUUGUCGCGCAAAGCCCCCCCCCCCACACGUUUGUAUGGGAGCUUCCGUGCCGGUAUUUAGAUCUGCCACCCUGCCAGCGUCUCCAGCCUGAGACCCGUGCGCUUCUCUAAUGGCGCCUGUCCCUAUGUGCCAGAGGGGGGUGUUCAUGAUAGUAAUGGAGCGCAGCAUUGGCCAUCAUAUCUGGCAUAGAAAAUACACUUUUCUAUCGCUGUAUCUGCGCUUGUCGCUGAGCGUGACGGGGCUGCUGUUCUUCUGCAAAUAAUCCUCACAGCAUUGGCAGUAACAGCGAUACAUGCACUUUCCAAAACCUGAGCUGAGCAGCCAACCCCCUGUCAGCCUGUGAUCUAUUCCCAGGGCGUAUCCUGCAGGCUUGAUCAUACUGCCUCUUGCCUCUGCUACACGCAGGACCCCAGCCUAUAGACCAAGAUUCAGGGUGGACACACUGUGUUUUGACCCCUCACUCUACCAUAUGCAAACUCUACACCUGGUACUGAGACCAGGUUGGCAUGCUGACUA
This is a long non-coding RNA of Xenopus laevis (African clawed frog), 1651 nucleotides long. RefSeq lists it as uncharacterized. The transcript is spliced from 4 exons. NCBI's taxonomy places the organism in Eukaryota, Metazoa, Chordata, Amphibia, Anura, Pipidae. The record is from RefSeq and is a predicted model, not a curated record.